GGUUCAUUCAAAUUUCUUCCCUAUCAACUUUCGAUGCGAGGGUAUUGUCCUCGCAUGGUUACAACGGGUAACGGAGGGUUAGGGCUCGACCCCGGAGAAGGAGCCUGAGAAACGGCUACUACAUCCAAGGAAGGCAGCAGGCGCGCAAAUUACCCAAUCCCGAACGGGGAGGUAGUGACAAUAAAUACUGAUACAGGGCUCUUUUGGGUCUUGUAAUCGGAAUGAGUACAAUUUAAAUCUCUUAACGAGGAGCAAUUGGAGGGCAAGUCUGGUGCCAGCAGCCGCGGUAUUCCAGUCCAAUAGCGUAUAUUACAGUAGGCGAGGUCAAAAAGCUCGUAGUUG
RNAcentral lists this ribosomal RNA (342 nucleotides) under uncultured fungus. RNAcentral's name for it is "SSU rRNA". It matches the Rfam family "Eukaryotic small subunit ribosomal RNA", at positions 292 to 636 of the family's 1831-position model. Lineage: Eukaryota; Fungi. The record is from RNAcentral.